UACAGAGGUCUCAAGCGUUGUUCGGAUUCAUUGGGCGUAAAGGGUGCGUAGGUGGCGCUGUAAGUCGGGUGUGAAAUUUCGGAGCUUAACUCCGAAACUGCAUUCGAUACUGCGGUGCUUGAGGACUGGGGAGGAGACUGGAAUUCAUGGUGUAGCAGUGAAAUGCGUAGAGAUCAUGAGGAAGACCAGUGGCGAAGGCGGGUCUCUGGACAGUUCCUGACACUGAGGCACGAAGGCCAGGGGAGCAAACGGG
RNAcentral lists this ribosomal RNA (253 nucleotides) under uncultured bacterium. Its description in RNAcentral is "partial 16S ribosomal RNA". It matches the Rfam family "Bacterial small subunit ribosomal RNA", at positions 524 to 776 of the family's 1533-position model. The record is from RNAcentral.